GUCGGACGCGGUGGCGCACGCCUGUAGUCCCAGCUACUCGGGAGGCUGAGGUGGGAGGAUCGCUUGAGUCCAGGAGUUCUGGGCUGCAGUGCGCUAUGCCGAUCGGGUGUCCGCACUAAGUUCGGCAUCAAUAUGGUGACCUCCCGGGAAUGGGGGACCACCAGGUUGCCUAAGGAGGGGUGAACCGGCCCAGGUCGGAAAUGGAGCAGGUCAAAACUCCCGUGCUGAUCAGUAGUGGGAUCGCGCCUGUGAAUAGCCACUGCACUCCAGCCUGGGCAAUAUAGUGAGACCCUGUCUCU
RNAcentral lists this signal recognition particle RNA (299 nucleotides) under Cavia porcellus (domestic guinea pig). RNAcentral describes it as "Metazoan signal recognition particle RNA (ENSCPOG00000037576.1)". It matches the Rfam family "Metazoan signal recognition particle RNA". From Rfam's summary of the family: The signal recognition particle (SRP) is a universally conserved ribonucleoprotein. Lineage: Eukaryota; Metazoa; Chordata; Mammalia; Rodentia; Caviidae. The record is from RNAcentral.